This 463-nucleotide ribosomal RNA is filed under the name uncultured bacterium. RNAcentral describes it as "bacterial SSU rRNA". It matches the Rfam family "Bacterial small subunit ribosomal RNA", at positions 300 to 729 of the family's 1533-position model. The record is from RNAcentral.
ACGAUCAGUCACACUGGCACUGAGACACGGUCCAGACUCCUACGUGAGGCAGCAGUGGGGAAUAUUGGACAAUGGGCGCAAGCCUGAUCCAGCAAUGCCGCGUGUGUGAAGAAGGCCUUCGGGUUGUAAAGCACUUUAAGCAGGGAAGAAAAAACUACGGACUAACAUUUCGAGUCUUGACGGUACCUGAAGAAUAAGCUCCGGCUAACUCUGUGCCAGCAGCCGCGGUAAUACAGAGGGUGCAAGCGUUAAUUGGAUUUACUGGGCGUAAAGGGUGUGUAGGUGGUUUGACAAGUCGGCUGUGAAAUCCCCGGGCUUAACCUGGGAACUGCUUCCGAGACUGUUUGACUAGAGUACGGUAGAGGGCGGUGGAAUUUCCGGUGUAGCGGUGAAAUUAAGAACAUUGAUUUUCCACGGCAGUUGAGAAUUCAGUAGGAUCGAUCAUGGCGUCAGAGUAAUUGAC